Molecule: long non-coding RNA, 445 nt
Organism: Brienomyrus brachyistius
Lineage: Eukaryota; Metazoa; Chordata; Actinopteri; Osteoglossiformes; Mormyridae
Exons: 5
Source: RefSeq, a predicted model, not a curated record
GGUUGGGCACGAGGUUGGGCUAAAUCUGCCUUGCAACUUAUCUUUCAUUGGUCGGAUGGAAAUUAACAUACCGUGGGUCAGGGAAUGCACUUUUACACCUGUUGGAAAACUCUAAGGAGCUGGCUGCACUUUUGCUGCUGCGCUACAAGGCAAUAUAAUGGCUGAGAGAGACGUAAAUGUGAACGACACAUCUGUUGAUGUCACGCCAAAUUUGCCACGAGACGCAUUUGAUGGGGAUACAACUGCCAGCUCACCCGAAGAGAGUGAAGCUGAUGGUGAUGAAGAAGAGAUCCCCCAAACCCAGCAGGCCUCAACUGGCAAGGCUUAAAGCUGCAGCAGUGAUGCCAGGAGAGUUCGACCUUCAAUUUUAUUUAUCUUAAUUUAGUUAAAUUAUUUUUAUAUAUAUAUAUAUAAUUUGUUGUAAUUUUGUUCAUUGCAACUUAAA